This 287-nucleotide long non-coding RNA is filed under the name Astyanax mexicanus (Mexican tetra). RNAcentral's name for it is "lncRNA (ENSAMXG00005010173.1)". Lineage: Eukaryota; Metazoa; Chordata; Actinopteri; Characiformes; Acestrorhamphidae. The record is from RNAcentral.
AAGGCCUAAAAACCAACAAAGAAGAUUGAGUGACUCGUUAGUUUGGCAGAAAGCGCGAGGAGACGGGAAAAGUAAAAAAAAAGAAAAUGAUACCGGACGCAUCAGCUGUGUGUGUAAACUGAACCUGAGGAGCGUGCACGUGCUGCAGGUGCUGAAGAGGGACAGAGCGCGAGGGGGAUUUACCGGUUUUAAACCUCACCUCCCACACACAACUGAAUAAACUGUGGUUCCUACACCCUACCCAAUGGAGUGAUUCUUCUGCCUACUGCAGAAUACUAACACAACAA